CCUACGGGGGGCUGCAGUGGGGAAUAUUGGACAAUGGGCGAAAGCCUGAUCCAGCCAUGCCGCGUGUGUGAAGAAGGCCUUCGGGUUGUAAAGCACUUUCAGUGGGGAAGAAAGCCUUGGGGCUAAUACCCUCGAGGAAGGACAUCACCCACAGAAGAAGCACCGGCUAACUCCGUGCCAGCAGCCGCGGUAAUACGGAGGGUGCGAGCGUUAAUCAGAAUUACUGGGCGUAAAGCGCGCGUAGGCGGUCUGAUAAGCCGGUUGUGAAAGCCCCGGGCUCAACCUGGGAACGGCAUCCGGAACUGUCAGGCUAGAGUGCAGGAGAGGAAGGUAGAAUUCCCGGUGUAGCGGUGAAAUGCGUAGAGAUCGGGAGGAAUACCAGUGGCGAAGGCGGCCUUCUGGACUGACACUGACGCUGAGGUGCGAAAGCGUGGGUAGCAAACAGGAUUAGAUACCCUUGUAGUC
RNAcentral lists this ribosomal RNA (465 nucleotides) under Vreelandella stevensii. RNAcentral's name for it is "partial 16S ribosomal RNA". It matches the Rfam family "Bacterial small subunit ribosomal RNA", at positions 338 to 795 of the family's 1533-position model. Lineage: Bacteria; Pseudomonadati; Pseudomonadota; Gammaproteobacteria; Oceanospirillales; Halomonadaceae. The record is from RNAcentral.